AGUGAACGCUGGCGGUAGGCCUAACACAUGCAAGUCGAACGGCAGCACAGUAAGAGCUUGCUCUUACGGGUGGCGAGUGGCGGACGGGUGAGGAAUACAUCGGAAUCUACUUUUUCGUGGGGGAUAACGUAGGGAAACUUACGCUAAUACCGCAUACGACCUACGGGUGAAAGCAGGGGAUCUUCGGACCUUGCGCGAUUGAAUGAGCCGAUGUCGGAUUAGCUAGUUGGCGGGGUAAAGGCCCACCAAGGCGACGAUCCGUAGCUGGUCUGAGAGGAUGAUCAGCCACACUGGAACUGAGACACGGUCCAGACUCCUACGGUAGGCCGCAGUGGGGAAUCUUGGACAAUGGGCGCAAGCCUGAUCCAGCAAUACCGCGUGGGUGAAGAAGGCCUUCGGGUUGUAAAGCCCUUUUGUUGGGAAAGAAAAGCAGCAGGUUAAUACCCCGCUGUUCUGACGGUACCCAAAGAAUAAGCACCGGCUAACUUCGUG
RNAcentral lists this ribosomal RNA (492 nucleotides) under uncultured bacterium. Its description in RNAcentral is "partial 16S ribosomal RNA". It matches the Rfam family "Bacterial small subunit ribosomal RNA", at positions 29 to 507 of the family's 1533-position model. The record is from RNAcentral.